AGCUCCAAUAGCGUAUAUUUAAGUUGUUGCAGUUAAAAAGCUCGUAGUUGGAUUUCGGGUGUGAACGACCGGUCCGCCGUUUCGGUGUGUACUGGUCGGUUGCUCCUUUUUGCCGAGGACGUGGUUCUGGCCUUAAUUGACUGGGACACGGAGUCGGCAGCGUUACUUUGAGAAAAUUAGAGUGUUCAAAGCAGGCUAUCGCUCUGAAUACUACAGCAUGGAAUAACACGAUAGGACUCCGAGCCUAUUUGUUGGUCUUCGGGACCGGAGUAAUGAUUAAGAGGGACAGUUGGGGGCAUUCGUAUUCCGAUGUCAGAGGUGAAAUUCUUGGAUUAUCGGAAGACGAACAUCUGCGAAAGCAUUUGCCAAGGAUGUUUUCAUUAAUCAAGAACGAAAGUAG
Molecule: ribosomal RNA, 400 nt
Filed under: phytoplankton environmental sample
Lineage: Eukaryota
Description: partial small subunit ribosomal RNA
Rfam family: Eukaryotic small subunit ribosomal RNA
Source: RNAcentral